AACCGGAAGCGUUAGCAUUAGCCGUUACGUUUUUUUGGCUAAAGGUUGCAGGCUUGCUUUCUAGUGGCUUUGGUAAGACCUUCUGUUUAUUCAG
Molecule: long non-coding RNA, 94 nt
Organism: Sinocyclocheilus anshuiensis
Lineage: Eukaryota; Metazoa; Chordata; Actinopteri; Cypriniformes; Cyprinidae
Exons: 3
Source: RefSeq, a predicted model, not a curated record